Molecule: non-coding RNA, 1024 nt
Organism: Rana temporaria (common frog)
Lineage: Eukaryota; Metazoa; Chordata; Amphibia; Anura; Ranidae
Source: the annotation of a RefSeq genome assembly
AAGGAUUCAACUAAACUCUGUUCUGUCAAAGUGAUUCCUCAUCACCUUGAUCAUGUUCUGGACUGUCUUCAUCUUCAUCACUUAUUUUUCCUAUUCUGCGGCUCAGUUUACUGUCAUCCAGGAAGCCACAAUAACCGUGUCUCUUGGUGGUAAUGCCAUUGUGUCCUGUGGUCGUAGUGAUGGCUCUGUAGCUGCUGGUAACCACCCAACCUGGGUAUAUCAGGCACCUGGGAGUGCUCCUAAAGGUUUAGUAAGUAGUAAUGGAGCCAGUAAUCAUAAUAUAAAACCUCCAGGAAUCUCUGAACGUUUUACUGGAUCCAUCCAAGGAGCCUCAAGUGUUUUGUCUAUCAGUAAUGUACAGGCUGCAGAUGACGGGAAUUAUCACUGUGCUCUAUACAUUGGUGGUGGAGUGUGGAUGUUCGGACCAGGAACUCAGCUCAUUGUACAAACCGGUGAAGUGAAGGCACCAGUUGUGUUUUUCUUUGGUCCAUCUAAAGAAGAGUUAGAGAAAGAGACAGCCACCUUAGUCUGUACUGCCAGUGAAUACAAGCCAAGGACCGCAACAAUGGAGUUUCUGGUGGAUGGUCAAACUUGGGAGAAUGGGGUCUCCACAUCACCAAUCACCAUACAGAGUGACAGUUCAUACAUGGGAAGCAGUUUCCUCACCAUGACCUCAUCUGAUUAUUCUAAAUAUAAGGAAUAUGGCUGCAAAGUGACGCAUCAGGGCAAAGAGUUUAUCCAGACACUGAAGAGAUCAGAGUGUUUCUAAUAUUCAGUUUAUCUCUUUGUAUCGCCAAGUAAUAGAGUCAGUUCUUUAUUAUAAAUUAAAUACAAUGUGAAAGAUAAAUGGUUAUUUCUCCACAAACUAGAUUGUGGCUCCUCUACACUUUUCUAUAUUCGUUAUGCUUGCAUUUAAAACCCCUAAGAUGCCCCAUUUGCACAGAGAAAUGCAUUGAUUAUGUAAUGUUUAUUUUGCUUGCCCCCAUGAAGUUCUCAAUAAAUGACUCUAUAUGUAUUUAAAAAA